Non-coding RNA from Pelobates cultripes (western spadefoot toad), 248 nucleotides. The record is from the annotation of a GenBank genome assembly. NCBI's taxonomy places the organism in Eukaryota, Metazoa, Chordata, Amphibia, Anura, Pelobatidae.
CACUCAACGCACCCCUUACAGACACACACACACUGCAUCCCUUACAUACACAGAAACACACUUUGCAUCCCUUAUGCAUACAAACACAGAUUCACACAAUGCAUCCCUUACACACAACGAGAAACACACAACGAGAAAUACACAAACACACACUGCUUUCUAUCCCUUACACAAAAACACGCUGCUUCCACUACACACAAAUACACUGCAUCACCUACACAAACUGGUAUCCCUAUACACUACAUUCC